ACUAGCGCUGUGAGCAACAUCUCCGGUUUGGCAGCGUCUUCUGUUUUCAAGCAAAAGGGUGGCCCCCGUCCCAGAAGAUACCUUCCUUUCAGUUCCGCCUUCUGCGAGGUCGUGUGUCACAGGUAUGACGUCGGCGGAUUUAACGCCCACUAAGGACCUCGGUUUGAACGUGCUGCUCACUGGCAACGGGUGCAAAUCGACGGUGACAUGGUCGGACAAGCCAGUUUUAUGGCAUCGCUCGUCGAGGAGGCAGCCACAUUGAAAUUGGCGUCACCGAGCGAGCGGCUAUGAACAUAGUCUUCGAACAAGGCUGCAGUGUCGUCUCGGGAGACAGUUAACAACCUUCUACUUCUGGAAGGACGCCCUCAUGGAAGCCUUGUCAAGGAGGGAUUCCAGCUCCCUCGACACUGCCGUGGACGACCUGCGCCACAGGACCUGGCUACCGCAGAUGACUCUGCACGCUCCCCUUCACCACGUCCGCAGCCUUCGGACAUCCGCUGCGCCUGAACAUGACGAUACCGACGCUUUCCAGCCAGAGCGGCCCGGUCAGCCUUCCCCAUCGACUUCGACUCCUGCUAAGACUCCUGGCGUAGAAUACCCUUCACAGACGGCUCUUGCCGGCAGCGGAUGGGUUACACGCAGUGCUCUUCCGCAACGAACGAUGGUGUAUGCAAAUAAACGUGAUGUUGUUGGUUAA
Ornithodoros turicata is the source of this 697-nucleotide long non-coding RNA. RefSeq lists it as uncharacterized. NCBI's taxonomy places the organism in Eukaryota, Metazoa, Arthropoda, Arachnida, Ixodida, Argasidae. The transcript has 2 exons. The record is from RefSeq and is a predicted model, not a curated record.